RNAcentral lists this ribosomal RNA (845 nucleotides) under uncultured Chloroflexota bacterium. RNAcentral's name for it is "bacterial SSU rRNA". It matches the Rfam family "Bacterial small subunit ribosomal RNA", at positions 28 to 896 of the family's 1533-position model. Lineage: Bacteria; Bacillati; Chloroflexota. The record is from RNAcentral.
GACGAACGCUGGCGGCGCGCCUUACGCAUGCAAGUCGUACGCCGGGCUUCGGCCCGGAGUGGCAGACGGCUGAGUAACGCGUAGGCAACCUGUCCCACAGUGGGGGAUAACCCGUCGAAAGACGGGCUAAUACGCCAUUCGCUCCAGGGGUGGAACUCCCCUGGAGGAAAGCCGCAAGGCGCUGAGGGAGGGGCCUGCGUCCUAUCAGGUAGUUGGUGAGGUAACGGCUCACCAAGCCGGCGACGGGUAGUUGGUCUGAGAGGACGGCCAGCCWGACGGGGACUGAGACACGGCCCCGACUCCUACGGGAGGCAGCAGCGAGGAAUCUUGGGCAAUGGGCGAAAGCCUGACCCAGCGACGCCGCGUGGGGGAAGAAGGCCUUCGGGUCGUAAACCCCUUUUGCCGGGGAAGAAGCUCUGACGGUACCUGGCGAAUAAGCCACGGCUAACUACGUGCCAGCAGCCGCGGUAAUACGUAGGUGGCAAGCGUUGUCCGGAUUUACUGGGCGUAAAGAGCGUGUAGGCGGUCCGUUAAGUCCGGUGUGAAAUCUCCCGGCUCAACUGGGAGGGGUCAUCGGAUACUGGCGGACUUGAGGUGGGCAGAGGAAGGUGGAAUUCCCGGUGUAGCGGUGAAAUGCGUAGAUACCGGGAGGAACACCAGUGGCGAAGGCGGCCUUCUGGGCCCACUCUGACGCUGAGGCGCGAAAGCGUGGGGAGCAAACCGGAUUAGAUACCCGGGUAGUCCACGCCCUAAACGUUGGACACUAGGUGUGGGGGGUGUCGACCCCCUCUGUGCCGUAGCUAACGCAUUAAGUGUCCCGCCUGGGGAGUACGGCCGCAAGGCUA